CCAAAGUCUUAUUAUAUCCAAAGUGCCCUGCUGCUGGAAAGUCAUGACGUGCUUGAAGAACACGUAAACGUGCUUCUCCUUCUGGAACAUAUAGGCGUCCUUCAAAAUAUAAUAGAUUAUUCUUGAACUCGAACUUAGAAGGAUCAUGAGACUUAGAGGAAUUAUUCUCGAUAUCAUAAACAAGAGGGUCUGAGGACAUACUGGACUAGAUUUG
This 214-nucleotide long non-coding RNA is filed under the name Physcomitrium patens. RNAcentral's name for it is "long non-coding RNA (PPAT_LNC012023)". Lineage: Eukaryota; Viridiplantae; Streptophyta; Bryopsida; Funariales; Funariaceae. The record is from RNAcentral.